AAAUAAAUAUUUUUUUUUUUUUUUUUUUUUUUUUUUUUUUUUUUUUUUUUUUUAUAUUAUUUUACACAAUAUAUUUUCCAGUAUCCAAAUAAUUGUUUUGUACACUACUUUGUAAUGUUUUUCACUGAAAACGUAGUAUUGAGGUGUAUUUUCCGGAAUUUGCCGAGUAUCACCGGAAUGCCAUGUGAUAACGUUACGGAAAGGCAUGUGAUAACAAUCGAAGCAUGUGAUAAACUUUUCAUAUCAGCCCGCUAAGCAC
This 259-nucleotide long non-coding RNA is filed under the name Mytilus galloprovincialis (Mediterranean mussel). The record is from RNAcentral. Lineage: Eukaryota; Metazoa; Mollusca; Bivalvia; Mytilida; Mytilidae.